RNAcentral lists this long non-coding RNA (873 nucleotides) under Physcomitrium patens. RNAcentral describes it as "long non-coding RNA (PPAT_LNC012303)". The record is from RNAcentral. Lineage: Eukaryota; Viridiplantae; Streptophyta; Bryopsida; Funariales; Funariaceae.
UACAUGGCAAAUUAGGGAGCAAUGUUGUGGGUGGGAGUCUUCACCCAAUACGAGCGAGUUUUCUAACAUUAAUGAACUUAACAAAGCGCAGAAUGAGUGGCAUGGGCGAAAUGGUGCUGUCGUUGCAGUCAUUUAGUCUGAAGAGCACCGCACAACGACACACAAACAGCAGAUCGUGGUGGAUUCAGUGAAUAAUGAAGUGCUGGACUGUGUUGGAAUACCACAAAGAAAGGAGGUAAGCCGAGACAACACUAAAGUGACUAGCGCUCAGCAUGGCGAAUCAUCAAGAAUGGAAUACUCAAAAUAAAGGGGUUGUUAAGAUCCCAACAUCAAUUCACAAAGCACUCUGCGGCCGAUGGACUGCAUCGUGGAGCAUCCAGGAUCAGAAGAAGUUGGAGGGGAGAAGCUUGCAUCAAUUGCACUGACUGCAGGGAUAGAGGAUCCAGCUCUCGUACAAUUUAGAUUCAAGUCAAUGCGGCCAAAUAUCGAUUUAAAUAAAAGUAACAUUCACCUUUCAUGUCCAUAGGAAUUCAACGGAGUAGAAUUUCCAAUAACACGGACACUCCACAUAUGUUUCAGUUGUGAGUGAACAAAACAAGGUUGGAAGGGACAUUCUAAUCGCUUGGACCUUCCGUGAGACUGGCAAGACAAACAAACUAGGACAUGUCAGAUUACUUAGCACCUCUAUUCAAUGAAUGGUUGUGGAGCUAGGGACUGGCCACUGAGAUGAUAAACAACACACGCCAGCACAAACUAUCAAGCAAGACAAUCAUUCGGAGAAACCAGAGUUUGUCCUCCCUCUCAACAGCAUCGCUCCCUCUGACUCACUCAACAGCGCAAAACAUGAAGACUACCUUUCUAUGAAUCGGGCGG